Molecule: non-coding RNA, 475 nt
Organism: Pelobates cultripes (western spadefoot toad)
Lineage: Eukaryota; Metazoa; Chordata; Amphibia; Anura; Pelobatidae
Source: the annotation of a GenBank genome assembly
AUAUGUCCCAUACUUGAUAAACAAAAAAGGGAAGAGGCUGAUCUUUUUCUUGCUCGUAAUAACAUGGAGAUCAUGGAUUCCGAGACCCCUUUCUUUCUCAAUCUUCUCCUCAAUUUUCAGGCCAUCAGUUGCAGGGGCUGUGGAGGUGGAUGGGAGGCCCCUCAAACAGCAGGUCUGGUCGUGCUGGGAGAUAAAGAAGAACAGCUCUAGAAAGGCUCAAUAAGAAGGGAAAGAAAGUCUCCUUGGCUGGUGUGAUGAAUUACUGCUAGAACCUCCAUCUUUUUCUUAAGUCCUCUCAAUAGAGCCAGAAUAGGAAUGGAGGGAAGACAUAAACCCCCUGGUUCUCCAGAAACACGAAAGAGCAUCAGCUUAUGGUUAAGGGAUCUUGAAAGAAUCUCCUGAACUCCCGGUUGCCACUGUAUUAUUAUGUGAAGCCCUGAGUGAGCUCCCCAUUUGUCCAAGAUCAUCUAGAUGG